UCUGGAUAAAUAGGUCUAUAGUACGAUAACCCUUGGCAGUAGACUGGAUUCUUCCAAAAGCAAUCUGAAUAUCACAGUCCUUUGAAGUUCUCAAAAUGUCAUAGAUGAGGGCCUUUUGAUCAACGCAUUGUAUUUGAAGCAACGUGUGAACUGGGCUCAAUAAGUUAUCCACUGUGAUGGUUGCCUUCUUUAAUUUUGCCGUAUCAGAUGCAGAGGACAUGGGAACUGCUUCCUUAGACAAUUCACAACUAAACAACUCUUCUGCAACUUCUUGUGGAAGAGAAGCGAAUCCUUGCUGAACUUCACAUUCAGGCCCCGACAACUGAAGCUCACAGCUAAUGCAAUAUUCUCCCAGAACAUUACUUAGAUGUUCACAUGUCUCAUCUCGUCUUUGUUUUGUGUGCAGCAAGUCCAUGCAAUCAGUUAUGAAGAAGAGAUCCAAAACUUUGUCGUCUGGUGUUGUCG
RNAcentral lists this unclassified non-coding RNA (465 nucleotides) under Hevea brasiliensis (rubber tree). Lineage: Eukaryota; Viridiplantae; Streptophyta; Magnoliopsida; Malpighiales; Euphorbiaceae. The record is from RNAcentral.